Molecule: ribosomal RNA, 274 nt
Filed under: uncultured bacterium
Lineage: Bacteria
Description: partial 16S ribosomal RNA
Rfam family: Bacterial small subunit ribosomal RNA
Source: RNAcentral
AUACGGAGGGUGCGAGCGUUAAUCGGAAUUACUGGGCGUGAAGCGUACGUAGGCGGUUGGUUAAGUUAGAUGUGAAAGCCCCGGGCUUAACCUGGGAACUGCAUUUAAAACUGGCGAACUAGAGUUGAGUAGAGGGGAGUGGAAUUUCAGGUGUAGCGGUGAAAUGCGUAGAGAUCUGAAGGAACACCAGUGGCGAAGGCGACUCCCUGGACUCGAACUGACGCUGAGGUACGAAAGCGUGGGUAGCAAACGGGAUUAGAUACCCUAGUAGUCC